This 163-nucleotide ribosomal RNA is filed under the name uncultured bacterium. RNAcentral's name for it is "partial 16S ribosomal RNA". It matches the Rfam family "Bacterial small subunit ribosomal RNA", at positions 393 to 539 of the family's 1533-position model. The record is from RNAcentral.
AAUGCCGCGUGUGUGAAGAAGGCCUGCGGGUUGUAAAGCACUUUCAAUGGGGAGGAAGUGUAUUUGGUUAAGAGCUGGAUAUUAUUGACGUUACCCAUAGAAGAAGCACCGGCUAACUCCGUGCCAGCACCUGCGGUGACUGAGCGGGCUGGCAAGGCGCAUA